CCAUCAUCCAACGGCCUCUUCUGGGGCAAAGCCACCACCGCCGUAGGCGGAGUCGAAGUGGGAGUCCUCCUGUAGGUAGUUACAGGCAGAGCCACCGGAGGAGACGGAGAAGCUUGUUUCUUAGCGGUAAAAUUAGAUCCGAUCAAGUUAUCUAAGCUCUCGAAGAAAGGCCACGACGAUGUUAGCGUUCCGUUAGAGGACGUAACCUUAGCCUUCUCGAUCUUGUACUUCUUCUUAAUCGUGUCGAUACGGUUCUUACACUGCACAUCCGUACGGUG
Molecule: unclassified non-coding RNA, 278 nt
Filed under: Hevea brasiliensis (rubber tree)
Lineage: Eukaryota; Viridiplantae; Streptophyta; Magnoliopsida; Malpighiales; Euphorbiaceae
Source: RNAcentral